Molecule: non-coding RNA, 56 nt
Filed under: Plasmodium falciparum 3D7
Lineage: Eukaryota; Apicomplexa; Aconoidasida; Haemosporida; Plasmodiidae
Source: RNAcentral
AUUCUUCAUACUCACUUUCUGAGGAAGUUAUAUCAGUUGUAUCUUCGUAGUAGUGU